AAUGGGCGCAAGCCUGAUCCAGCCAUUCCGCGUGCAGGAUGAAGGCCUUCGGGUUGUAAACUGCUUUUGUACGGAACGAAACGGCGAGCUCUAAUACAGUUUGCUAAUGACGGUACCGUAAGAAUAAGCACCGGCUAACUACGUGCCAGCAGCCGCGGUAAUACGUAGGGUGCAAGCGUUAAUCGGAAUUACUGGGCGUAAAGCGUGCGCAGGCGGUUAUAUAAGACAGAUGUGAAAUCCCCGGGCUCAACCUGGGAACUGCAUUUGUGACUGUAUGGCUAGAGUACGGCAGAGGGGGAUGGAAUUCCGCGUGUAGCAGUGAAAUGCGUAGAUAUGCGGAGGAACACCGAUGGCGAAGGCAAUCCCCUGGGCCUGUACUGACGCUCAUGCACGAAAGCGUGGGGAGCAAA
Molecule: ribosomal RNA, 410 nt
Filed under: uncultured bacterium
Lineage: Bacteria
Description: bacterial SSU rRNA
Rfam family: Bacterial small subunit ribosomal RNA
Source: RNAcentral